RNAcentral lists this ribosomal RNA (424 nucleotides) under Verrucomicrobiota bacterium. Its description in RNAcentral is "Verrucomicrobia bacterium partial 16S ribosomal RNA". It matches the Rfam family "Bacterial small subunit ribosomal RNA", at positions 355 to 776 of the family's 1533-position model. The record is from RNAcentral. Lineage: Bacteria; Pseudomonadati; Verrucomicrobiota.
UGAGGAAUAUUGGUCAAUGGGCGAGAGCCUGAACCAGCCAAGUAGCGUGCAGGAUGACGGCCCUAUGGGUUGUAAACUGCUUUUAUAUGGGAAUAAAGUGAGGGACGUGUCCCUUAUUGCAUGUACCAUACGAAUAAGGACCGGCUAAUUCCGUGCCAGCAGCCGCGGUAAUACGGAAGGUCCAGGCGUUAUCCGGAUUUAUUGGGUUUAAAGGGAGCGUAGGCUGUUUGUUAAGCGUGUUGUGAAAUGUAAGAGCUCAACUUUUAGAUUGCAGCGCGAACUGGCAGACUUGAGUGCGCACAACGUAGGCGGAAUUCAUGGUGUAGCGGUGAAAUGCUUAGAUAUCAUGACGAACUCCGAUUGCGAAGGCAGCUUCCGGGAGCGCAGCUGACGCUAAAGCUCGAAGGUGCGGGUAUCGAACAGG